This 253-nucleotide ribosomal RNA is filed under the name uncultured bacterium. RNAcentral describes it as "partial 16S ribosomal RNA". It matches the Rfam family "Bacterial small subunit ribosomal RNA", at positions 524 to 776 of the family's 1533-position model. RNAcentral also lists the same sequence under 1 other name. The record is from RNAcentral.
UACGUAGGGGGCGAGCGUUGUCCGGAAUCAUUGGGCGUAAAGCGCGUGUAGGCGGCUCGGUAAGUCUGCUGUGAAAGUCCAGGGCUCAACCCUGGAAUGCCGGUGGAUACUGUCGAGCUUGAGUCCGGAAGAGGCGAGUGGAAUUCCUGGUGUAGCGGUGAAAUGCGCAGAUAUCAGGAGGAACACCAAUGGCGAAGGCAGCUCGCUGGGACGUGACUGACGCUGAGACGCGAAAGCGUGGGGAGCAAACAGG